AUUGAACGCUGGCGGCAGGCCUAACACAUGCAAGUCGAGCGGAUGAAGGGAGCUUGCUCCUGGAUUCAGCGGCGGACGGGUGAGUAAUGCCUAGGAAUCUGCCUGGUAGCGGGGGAUAACGUCCGGAAACGGGCGCUAAUACCGCAUACGUCCUGAGGGCGAACGUGGGGGAUCUUCGGACCUCACGCUAUCAGAUGAGCCUAGGUCGGAUUAGCUAGUUGGUGGGGUAAAGGCCUACCAAGGCGACGAUCCGUAACUGGUCUGAGAGGAUGAUCAGUCACACUGGAACUGAGACACGGUCCAGACUCCUACGGGAGGCAGCAGUGGGGAAUAUUGGACAAUGGGCGAAAGCCUGAUCCAGCCAUGCCGCGUGUGUGAAGAAGGUCUUCGGAUUGUAAAGCACUUUAAGUUGGGAGGAAGGGCAGUAAGUUAAUACCUUGCUGUUUUGACGUUACCAACAGAAUAAGCACCGGCUAACUUCGUG
This 484-nucleotide ribosomal RNA is filed under the name uncultured bacterium. RNAcentral describes it as "partial 16S ribosomal RNA". It matches the Rfam family "Bacterial small subunit ribosomal RNA", at positions 30 to 507 of the family's 1533-position model. The record is from RNAcentral.